UUGUUUCUGAUUUUUUUGUGUGUGUAUGUGUGUGCAUAAUUUAGCUUUUAAUUUAACUGCAUUCCCUGUGUUGUAACAACAAUAACAUUGUUUAUAGGUGUCAGAAAAUUAUAUGCAAACACCCCUAUAUGGCUACAACAAUAUAAUUAUAACAUAUAUCUUUAUUUUAUUUUAUUUUAGGUCUGUGAAGCCAAACUUGAUGGUGGGCAUUUAUUUUUGUCACUGGAGUCAAAUGGCUGAAGCAGAAUUUGCCCGUCUUACAUCUGUUGACCUGAAAGGGUCCCGCUUUGCUGGGCUUGACCAAUAUGGAGAGGUUCAUGGAGCUGUACAAAACCAAGAGCGGCAUAGCAGGGCUAACUAGGCUCAUAAAAUGCUUCGAUGAUGAUAGCUUUACACAAAGGAAGAGGACAGAGGACCUCAUUUUCUCAAGGAAGAUCCCUCACACACUUUCAAGACUGUGAAGGUUAGCAUUGUUUCUUUUAGUUAAUUCAAUAAUUACACCACCAGAGUGGAUUUUAAAUCAAACAAUCAAGAUGUGAUUGAAGUGCAGACUUUAGGCUUUAACUCAAAGGGUUAACACCCUACUCCCUGUAGAUGCCACAUGAUAACGUGUAUACUCUU
Oreochromis aureus is the source of this 621-nucleotide long non-coding RNA. RefSeq lists it as uncharacterized. The record is from RefSeq and is a predicted model, not a curated record. The transcript has 3 exons. Lineage: Eukaryota; Metazoa; Chordata; Actinopteri; Cichliformes; Cichlidae.